GGGCCUGUAGUUCAGCGGUUAGAGCCCUCCGCUCAUAACGGAGUAGUCGUAAGUUCAAAUCUUACCGGGCCCA
Molecule: transfer RNA, 73 nt
Filed under: Holosporaceae bacterium
Lineage: Bacteria; Pseudomonadati; Pseudomonadota; Alphaproteobacteria; Holosporales; Holosporaceae
Description: tRNA-Ile
Rfam family: tRNA
About the family: Transfer RNA (tRNA) molecules are approximately 80 nucleotides in length. Their secondary structure includes four short double-helical elements and three loops (D, anti-codon, and T loops).
Source: RNAcentral